Callithrix jacchus (white-tufted-ear marmoset) is the source of this 2482-nucleotide non-coding RNA. The record is from RefSeq and is a predicted model, not a curated record. Lineage: Eukaryota; Metazoa; Chordata; Mammalia; Primates; Cebidae.
UUCGCCAUGUUGGCCAGGAUGAUCUCGAGCUCCUGACCUGAAGUGAGCCACCUGCCUCACCCUCCCAAAGUGCUGGGGUUACAGGCGUGAGCCACAGCACCCGACCAGAAUAUCAUUUUUUAAUCUAGCAUUUGUGACUACCAAGGUGCCCAUGGGUGUGUCUCCACAGGCACCGCCCUCUUCGUGGGGAGAGUGGGUGGGGAGUUUCUGUGCUCCCUCCACCCACCCCCAUCAUCCGGAAACUUGCACUCCUGCACACGUGGUGGAGAAGGCGCCAUUUUGGCCCAGGAGGCUACUGGGUAAGAUGUUCCUGAGGCUCUGCUCAGGGCCAGGAGAUGAGGCCCAAGGGCUAGACUUGGGACCCCAGAGACGUACCACACCGGACUGCCCGACUGGAGUGAGCUGGUGCCCGAGAGCAAGAGCACAGCCCGUUGCGGGGCCUGUGUGAACCCGCAGGGCGGCUCCGCCAUGGCACCAGGGGCCGGUCCCGCUCGGUUCAGACACCAGAGCCGAGAGGGGGCUGUGCCAAGACCACACACGGCACCAGGGGCCAGUCCCGCUCGGUUCAGACACCAGAGCCGAGAGGGGGCUGUGCCAAGACCACGGGCCCUCCAAGAAAGCCCCGGAGCCAGCCAGCAGCGCCCAGGAACUGCCGAAAGCUUCGGCAAGGUAGGAAAGCUGCUUCUACCCUACCACUUGGGGAGUGGCACCACCUGAUGGAAGAAAUCGGUCUUAGGUCUUCUCACCGUGGCUUGAGAAUCACAUAAUCUCUUUGUGCCUGACUUUCCUCAACCCUAAACAGGGCCAGCUUGCCUUAUUCAUGAACUGUGUUGUAACAGCACUUAGUCAACUGCAGACGGCUUUUGCAAAUAUUAGAUGCUACUACCAUUGCUGAUGUGGUAUUUUUUAACACAUGAAGUGAAGUGAAAUGUGUUCAUGAUAUUCUCUGUGCAAUGAUUGAUGACCUCUUCUCAUGCUUCUGAGGUCAAAACAAUCAAUGCUGCCCAACAGCUGUUAGGGACGGAGACUCCCCUCCUCUCCAGCUUGAAACCUGAAGCUGCUGCCCACAGCUAACAAGCACGUGUGCCACUCAGUGACCUCUUGGCCUUCCCAGCAAAAAUAUCCUAUUUUGGCAUCCAGGCUUGACCCACAGUAGGAAGACUUGGCACUACUGUACAUAUGAUCUCAUUUAAGGAGUAGGAAGAUUAACAUGCCAGCUGAUGUUUGGAUGGGAAAAGUUCUUUGAGUUACACAGUUUGAAACAGAAACAGCCAGGAGACUUGGGACUUAAAUCACAACCAUUAUAUAAGUAAUGCGUGCUGUUCCCUGAGCGAAACGCUGCCCUUUGGCAGAGGUAGGCGGGAGAAGAGUGUGGGAAGUGAAGAAGCUCCUGAGGUGACAAAGUGAAUUGCACCAGAGAGAAGGGGGAUAAAGCAAGCUUCCCAGGAACUGGCACAGGAACAUCUAGCUGUCCCCAGAGGACUGGACAAGAAAGGCCUCUCUUGCAGGGAUGAGAUUAAAAUACAAUCAGGAGCCACUGUGUUACUUUAUCUCCUUUGAUAUGCUGCCUUGUCUGUUUAAGGGUGUCUUUGGGACUAGUAAGUCGCUUUCGCUAAAGGACUUGUUCCCUUUUCACUCACAGACACGCCCCUGCAGCUGCACCUGGCAGAAUAGCUUGAGUUUCCCUGGAAACUCUCCGAGAAAGGAAUAGAGGCAGAAUUGCCCUUUGUGAUCUCCUAAGAAUGGGGUCCAUGUUCAUCCAAAGAUGGGAAUGAAAAAUUCAUCCGUUUUUAACCUGUUCGGCCAAAUUCAUAUGUGGUUCAAUCCUCUGGGAUAUGGUGAAAGCUGACCCUUGAAAGCCCCUAACAUUAAAAAACAAGGAGCCAAAUGCAGACAGACUUCAGGACCACAGAACGCCUCCAUGAGAAUUAUCAGCAAAGCAAUCAUCUCACCCUCCUGACUUCAGGAGAAAACAUGAGUCAGCAAAGACUAAAUUGUUUUAAAAAUGGAAUCUUUGCAAAAUGGAAAAGCCAAAUGAAUUCACGCUGUAAAUCAAUGGACCUUUAAGGCACAGCAAGCAUUAUGGAUGACAUUAAUGAAAGACCUGUGUCGGCAUAGUGUGCUGCUGGAAAGGUCAGGGUCACCAUAGCCACUGCCCGACCUUAAAUAUAAUCCAGAAAUUGAAUAUGUACAUAAAAUAGUUUCUAGAGCCCCACAGGUGAAGCAAAGGUGAGUGCUACUGCUCUUUUGUGUGUGCUUAAUUAAAGAUUUUGAUGUAAAAUGUCAAAUAGAAAAGAUAGCGUAUUUCAGAUUUAAUAAGAAAAACAUAUAAAUUAUUACCCCAGUGUUCAAAUCCCUCUAUGUCAUACAAAUGUUUCUUGUCUACUUUGCUGAAAGUUCCUCAAGAAUAUCUUAUUCACCUUUGACUCCCCUACUUAGGUUUAUGGAUACAGAAAGUAUUCAAUAAAGAGUGAAAAAUUUA